Long non-coding RNA from Epinephelus fuscoguttatus (brown-marbled grouper), 1099 nucleotides. RefSeq lists it as uncharacterized. Lineage: Eukaryota; Metazoa; Chordata; Actinopteri; Perciformes; Serranidae. The transcript has 3 exons. The record is from RefSeq and is a predicted model, not a curated record.
CAGAUCCACAAUCUUAAUGUCACACGUAUGCAAUGUUAGAAAUUCGGCACUUUUAAAAGAAGGCAGGAUUCUUUCUGCACUGAACACAAGUCUGCAAAUACUUACGCAGUUGGUAAAAAUCUGUGGCCUGGGCUAAAUGAAACUGUGUAGCAUGUCUGCGGCAGCAAAAUAUACAUUUAUUGAAACAUACAUUCAUAUCAUGGAAUAAAAUCCCAUUUAGUCAUGGAAAUAUUGAUAAAUAUACAACUGACAAAAGCUAGCCAAUGAACAGAGAGGAGAUCUUUUAUCUGCUCUGAAAAAAGAAGGAAUUCCCACAUCUUCAUGCUACAUUUCUACUGUAGCUUCACUUGUGCAGUGUUAGAUAAGACAGGCAGGUUAUAAGGCUGGUGAGUUACUGAAUAUGCAUAUAUUGUGUCAGCCGUCCCCUUUCAUGCAUACAGCAGGUUUAUAUCGAAAUAAAACAAAAACAUGUCAACUAAAUGGUUAUAAUGUGAUUUAAAGUGUGACGUCAGUCUUCGUAGUAACAACUUUUACUGUGCAGGAAUUCCUUCUUUCUUUCUGACAAAUACAACAAACGCUUGUGAAACACAAUAUGGAGCAGUGCUGUCUACAUUCACAGCAUUUUUAGUUUAAAAGCCAUAUGGGAAAAGUGACACUUUAAUGAGAUGAUUCAGAGACCAGAGUUUAUACAAUGACUCUUUACAGCGGGGACACACUUUCCUGCCCAGCUUCUCUGUAUUUAGUGUUAUGAAGUGAUGAAGUGACGACAUUCUUAUUUUCUUGAUCUAUUGUUCUGUCUUGUUUUCAGAGUUUAAUUUUCUACCGAGACCUCGCCGAUUUGGAAAAGCCUCCCGUGACACAGCAGGCUUCCAAUCAUCAGUACCAACAGGAAACUGAAAUAUGGACGGCACACGUUUCCAAACCAAAGAUAUAGAGCUUUACAGCGUUGACACCUGUGCACCCUCCAGAGGAAGGUCAUGGGACACUCCCAACAGUUCUGGUAAAGGACACUUUUUCUUCAUCCUGCACCUCUGUGUCUCGCUGUGGGACGGGCAAAGUGAUGCUGCUUUCUCUUCAGGCGUUCUCCCGGACUGCCCCC